Molecule: ribosomal RNA, 253 nt
Filed under: uncultured bacterium
Lineage: Bacteria
Description: partial 16S ribosomal RNA
Rfam family: Bacterial small subunit ribosomal RNA
Source: RNAcentral
UACGGCGGGGGCUAGCGUUGUUCGGAAUUACUGGGCGUAAAGCGGACGUAGGCGGACUGACCAGUUGGUGGUGAAAGCCCGAGGCUUAACCUCGGGACUGCCCUCCAUACUGUCAGUCUCGAGUCCGGGAGAGGUGGAUGGAAUUCCUAGAGUAGAGGUGAAAUUCGUAGAUACUAGGAAGAACACUAGUGGCGAAGGCGGCUCACUGGAACGCUACUGACGCUGAGGUGCGAAAGCGUGGGGAGCGAACAGG